RNAcentral lists this ribosomal RNA (1441 nucleotides) under Campylobacter coli. Its description in RNAcentral is "partial 23S ribosomal RNA". It matches the Rfam family "Bacterial large subunit ribosomal RNA", at positions 598 to 1878 of the family's 2925-position model. The record is from RNAcentral. Lineage: Bacteria; Pseudomonadati; Campylobacterota; Epsilonproteobacteria; Campylobacterales; Campylobacteraceae.
GGACUGCCUUUUGCAUAAUGAGCCUGCGAGUUGUGGUGUCUGGCAAGGUUAAGCAAACGCGAAGCCGUAGCGAAAGCGAGUCUGAAUAGGGCGCUUAGUCAGAUGCUGCAGACCCGAAACGAAGUGAUCUAUCCAUGAGCAAGUUGAAGCUAGUGUAAGAACUAGUGGAGGACUGAACCCAUAGGCGUUGAAAAGCCCCGGGAUGACUUGUGGAUAGGGGUGAAAGGCCAAUCAAACUUCGUGAUAGCUGGUUCUCUCCGAAAUAUAUUUAGGUAUAGCGUUGUGUCGUAAUAUAAGGGGGUAGAGCACUGAAUGGGCUAGGGCAUACACCAAUGUACCAAACCCUAUCAAACUCCGAAUACCUUAUAUGUAAUCACAGCAGUCAGGCGGCGAGUGAUAAAAUCCGUCGUCAAGAGGGAAACAACCCAGACUACCAGCUAAGGUCCCUAAAUCUUACUUAAGUGGAAAACGAUGUGAAGUUACUUAAACAACCAGGAGGUUGGCUUAGAAGCAGCCAUCCUUUAAAGAAAGCGUAAUAGCUCACUGGUCUAGUGAUUUUGCGCGGAAAAUAUAACGGGGCUAAAGUAAGUACCGAAGCUGUAGACUUGCGCACAACUUAGAUUAUUUAAGUUUAGAAUAUGAGAAACUAAGUUAUAUGUUUAGUUAUAUUUUUACUGAUUUUUAUAGAGUAAAGAUAGAAAUAAAACUUAGUAAAAUCAGUAAAAAUAUUCUUAGACUAAAGUUAAGUAGUUUAAGUUGUGUGCAAGUGGUAGGAGAGCGUUCUAUUUGCGUCGAAGGUAUACCGGUAAGGAGUGCUGGAGCGAAUAGAAGUGAGCAUGCAGGCAUGAGUAGCGAUAAUUAAUGUGAGAAUCAUUAACGCCGUAAACCCAAGGUUUCCUACGCGAUGCUCGUCAUCGUAGGGUUAGUCGGGUCCUAAGUCGAGUCCGAAAGGGGUAGACGAUGGCAAAUUGGUUAAUAUUCCAAUACCAACAUUAGUGUGCGAUGGAAGGACGCUUAGGGCUAAGGGGGCUAGCGGAUGGAAGUGCUAGUCUAAGGUCGUAGGAGGUUAUACAGGCAAAUCCGUAUAACAAUACUCCGAGAACUGAAAGGCUUUUUGAAGUCUUCGGAUGGAUAGAAGAACCCCUGAUGCCGUCGAGCCAAGAAAAGUUUCUAAGUUUAGCUAAUGUUGCCCGUACCGUAAACCGACACAGGUGGGUGGGAUGAGUAUUCUAAGGCGCGUGGAAGAACUCUCUUUAAGGAACUCUGCAAAAUAGCACCGUAUCUUCGGUAUAAGGUGUGGUUAGCUUUGUAUUAGGAUUUACUCCGAAAGCAAGGAAACUUACAACAAAGAGUCCCUCCCGACUGUUUACCAAAAACACAGCACUCUGCUAACUCGUAAGAGGAUGUAUAGGGUGUGACGCCUGCCCGGUGCUCGAAGGUU